GCGGCGGACGGGUGAGUAACGCGUGGGAAACCUGCCUUGUAGAGGGGGAUAGCCUCGGGAAACCGUGAUUAAUACCCCAUAAAGCUUAAAAUUCGCAUGGAAAUUAAGUCAAAGCUUUAGCGCUACAAGAUGGUCCCGCGUCCCAUUAGCUAGUUGGUGAGAUAAUAGCCCACCAAGGCAACGAUGGGUAGCCGACCUGAGAGGGUGAUCGGCCACAUUGGGACUGAGACACGGCCCAAACUCCUACGGGAGGCAGCAGUGGGGAAUAUUGCGCAAUGGGGGAAACCCUGACGCAGCAACGCCGCGUGAGUGAAGAAGGUCUUCGGGUCGUAAAGCUCUGUCCUUGGGGAUGAAUAAUGACAGUACCCAAGGAGGAAGCCCCGGCUAACUACGUGCCAGCAGCCGCGGUAAUACGUAGGGGGCAAGCGUUGUCCGGAAUUACUGGGCAUAAAGAGUGCGUAGGCGGCAAGUUAAGUCAGAUGUGAAAGUCCAAG
This 494-nucleotide ribosomal RNA is filed under the name uncultured bacterium. Its description in RNAcentral is "bacterial SSU rRNA". It matches the Rfam family "Bacterial small subunit ribosomal RNA", at positions 95 to 606 of the family's 1533-position model. The record is from RNAcentral.